Long non-coding RNA from Malus domestica (apple), 876 nucleotides. RefSeq lists it as uncharacterized. The record is from RefSeq and is a predicted model, not a curated record. NCBI's taxonomy places the organism in Eukaryota, Viridiplantae, Streptophyta, Magnoliopsida, Rosales, Rosaceae.
AUCGAGAAAAAACCGAAAAAAAAUUAAAACUGUUGAGAACCGAACCCAGCCCUAUUCCGUUAUGGCUACAACGAUGAACUCUUCCAAUUCUUAUUCUCCUACGAAUUCUUCAGCCUCUGCUCCUCACGCUGAAUUUUCUUAUCCUCUACUGGCUCUGAUUGCAUCUGUCAUCGUUCAGAAUAUCGCCGGUAUGGUUCCGACAAAGCUGAAUCGUCACAACUACAUCACAUGGCGCAACUUAUUUCUUCCAAUUCUGAAGCGAUUUAAGCUUUAAGGCUUAUUGAUGGCACCAACUUUUGUCCCUCUCAAUUUGUUCCUAACUCUGCUGGACUUCGUGUUCUCAAUUCUGCACAUGAAAUUUGGUAUCUCUGUGGCUCUCUCUGGAAAAACGAUUUGCUGAGCUUCUCGCACACACAUUCACAGUCUUCGUGCUAAGAUUUAGACGAUCCAAAAAGGGAUCUAAGAACUGGGAAUAUGCUCUUCCAUGGCCCCAGUGAAGGUGGUCUUUAUCCAUUAUAUUGGACAACUUCCAAUGGAUCUUCUGGAAUAAUAGUGUAUCCUCGUGCGUUGAUAGUUACAAAGGCCGAUAUUCAUCUCUGGCAUAAAAGGCUUGGACACCCUUCUAGUGCAGUUUUACAUUCUGUUUUACAAACUCAUCAUUUACUUGUAAUUGGUCUAGUAAAUAAAUUGCCAAUUUUUGUAGCUUGUAAAAUGGAAAAAGCUUCUAAGAUUCCAUUUUAUGUGUUGCCUUGUAACUCUGUCAAACCAUUUCAUUUGGUUCAUGCCGAUGUAUGGGGGCCUUCUCCUACCUCUUAUUGUACUUGUUACAAAUAAUACUUAAUACUAGUGGAUGAUUUCACAAAAUAAAGUUGGUUA